This 225-nucleotide long non-coding RNA is filed under the name Elaeis guineensis (African oil palm). Its description in RNAcentral is "long non-coding RNA (EGUI_LNC065786)". The record is from RNAcentral. Lineage: Eukaryota; Viridiplantae; Streptophyta; Magnoliopsida; Arecales; Arecaceae.
AGGGAACAUACAGUCAAACUCAGUAGCCUCACUGUAAAUAGCCAAUAUCAUCGUAGGUCAAAGGACUACUCAUACCACUACAGCAUCGAGAAGACCACUGACGAGUGAGUAGACAUCUAUAUGAUUUUCGUAUUGAUCAUGCUCAGUGCAAGUUGUUCUCUAACAACCACCUACACCUUCACCCUAGUGUCUCUACACUGUAGAUCCAAGACUCAUCUGCCCACA